GAAUGAACCGGCGAGUUACGAUUUGAUGCAAGGUUAAGCAGUAAAUGUGGAGCCGUAGCGAAAGCGAGUCUGAAUAGGGCGUUUAGUAUUUGGUCGUAGACCCGAAACCAGGUGAUCUACCCUUGGUCAGGUUGAAGUUCAGGUAACACUGAAUGGAGGACCGAACCGACUUACGUUGAAAAGUGAGCGGAUGAACUGAGGGUAGCGGAGAAAUUCCAAUCGAACCUGGAGAUAGCUGGUUCUCUCCGAAAUAGCUUUAGGGCUAGCCUCAAGUGAUGAUUAUUGGAGGUAGAGCACUGUUUGGACGAGGGGCCCCUCUCGGGUUACCGAAUUCAGACAAACUCCGAAUGCCAAUUAAUUUAACUUGGGAGUCAGAACAUGGGUGAUAAGGUCCGUGUUCGAAAGGGAAACAGCCCAGACCACCAGCUAAGGUCCCAAAAUAUAUGUUAAGUGGAAAAGGAUGUGGCGUUGCCCAGACAACUAGGAUGUUGGCUUAGAAGCAGCCAUCAUUUAAAGAGUGCGUAAUAGCUCACUAGUCGAGUGACACUGCGCCGAAAAUGUACCGGGGCUAAACAUAUUACCGAAGCUGUGGAUUGUCCUUUGGACAAUGGUAGGAGAGCGUUCU
Molecule: ribosomal RNA, 625 nt
Filed under: Staphylococcus aureus
Lineage: Bacteria; Bacillati; Bacillota; Bacilli; Caryophanales; Staphylococcaceae
Description: partial 23S ribosomal RNA
Rfam family: Bacterial large subunit ribosomal RNA
Source: RNAcentral